Molecule: long non-coding RNA, 2189 nt
Filed under: Populus trichocarpa (black cottonwood)
Lineage: Eukaryota; Viridiplantae; Streptophyta; Magnoliopsida; Malpighiales; Salicaceae
Description: long non-coding RNA (PTRI_LNC003874)
Source: RNAcentral
UUGUUUUCCUCAUAUCAAGUUACUCACGGUUAAAUCCUCUUGCUAUUUUUUUUUACAGCGUGUUAUCAGCAGCCACCCACCCACCUUGCCUUGUCCAAACCAUUGCUGAGGUUAGGGUUCUUAUAUUUUUUACCAUGGUCAAUUUCGUCUGUUAUGAGCUUUAUAAUCCCUUUUAUUGUUUGCUGUCGUAUAAUUACUCGAAGAAAACAACUGAUCUCUCCCUUUUUUUAAAAAACCAUUUGUGAUCGUUUAUUAGAUGGAAAGGUUAAUUAUGGGGUGAAGAAAAUGUAUGUUAAGAAGAUAUAGUCAUGAUCUAAUUAUAAACCUAUAUUCAUGAAAUGAAAUAAGGGUAGGACAUUAUGGAAGAUAAAUAUCCUUAAUAUUUUAUGUUAAAAAAUCAGAAGAAUAAACAAUCGAAGUUUUAUGGUCUAACAUGAGGUCUAUAUUGAUCUUCAUACCUUUACUCCUUUGCGCUUGGCGUAUUGCCAAAGUCUAAGGGCGAUGAGUCUGACAGCUCGCUAGAUUCAUACACACUUGGGCUUGGCUCGAUACCAAGCCCACAUACAGUGAAUCUGAUAGUUUGCUAGACCAUUAUUUGAUUAGGCUCUGCACGUAGCUGAACUAAAAAAUAUUAGGUCUGGUAGUUCGCCAGACCCAUGUCUGUUUGGGUUCAAAGUGUAGCUGAACUCAAGGCUUUUGAGUAUGAUAGCUUGCCAGAUCCAUAUUUGUUUGGACUUAGUAUAUAACUGAACUCAAGAAAAUUGAGUAUGAUAGCUUGUCAGACUUAUGUCAAUUUGGGCUUGGCUCGUAGCCACGCCCAAGGACAUUUGGCCUUGAAGUAAGCAAGAUUAAUGUCAUUUAAAUUUGACAUUUUGCCAAGCAUAGAGAUGUUAAGUAUGUACGCAAGCUCCACCCACUUAUCAUUGGGCUUAACACGUAACCAAGUCUAAGGGCGAUAAGUCUGGCAGCUUGCUAAACUCAUACACACUUGGGCUUGGCUUGAUGUCAAGCCCACGAGCAGUGGAUCUGAUAAUUUGCUAGACCCAUAUCCAUGUCUGUUUAGGCUUAGUGCAUAACUGAUCCUAAGAAUGUUGGUUCUGACAGAUUACUAGACUCAUAUUCAUUUAAGCUUAGAGUGUAGCUGAACUAAAAAAUGUUAAGUUUGACAGCAUGCUAGAUCUAUGUUUGUUUAAAUUCAAUGCAUAACUGAACUCAAGAAUAUUAAAUGUGAUGCUUGUUGAACUUAUGUCCACUUGGAGUUGGCUGAUAGCCACGUCCAAGGACAUUUGGCCUUGAAGUAAGCACGAACUCAAGAAUAUUAAAUGUGAUUUUGUAAAGCAUAAGGAUGUUAAGUAUGGAUGUAAGCUCUACCCACUUAUCAUUGAAUUAUCACUCUUCAUUUUAUCUUUUGUUUUUUUUAAAAAAAAAACUUAGCCUAAAAACUAAUUUUUAAAAAUAUGUAGAUACAUCACAUUUUGAUGUCUUUUGAGCAUAUUUUUCAACUUUCUAUUCAGAAUGACCGGUGUGGAAGGCUGCAUUUCGUAAAACACUUCCAGUAAAAUUAUUGGCCAAUGAAGUUUUAUUUACGAUUUUUGAAUUAGCUAGCCUCUCCUCUUUUGAAUGUUCUCUACGUUAUUUUUUGCUGAUUCCUUCUUUCAUUGUUUGAUUAAAUCAGAUAUCUUACAACAGAACAUAUGCUUCUGUCAGGAUUUGGCAUCGGUUGCCCUUGUAAUCGGAAAGGCUCAUUCAUUGAAUCUCCUAACAAAAUCUUCUUGAUCUUAUUUGCUACGUUCAAUUAGAUUAGUUGUUCUUGGCUUUCCAAAAGACAUGAAUGUUUACAUUUCUCUUGUUGCACUUCUCCGCAUAGAUGAAAGAUUUCUGAAAAUGGCUGGCACUUGAACCUUAUGAAAAAGAAGGAGGUAGGCAUAUAAACACCUACUGAUUGAUAACGAGCAUGCAUGUAUUAGGAAAGUGAUCAUUCCAUUUCCAUUUCAAGUUUUUCAACACAGGUAAUACGAACUGCUAUCUGUUGCUAAGCUAUUAGAAAGACAUUCGGCAUUGUCUGAGAAUCUUAGCAGUAGAGAAGAUGCAGAGCAUUUAUCUGAUAUCUAUUCAGAAUGAAUUGGCAGAUCAACAGUCCUUUCUUUAAUUUAUUUGUAUUAUUUUAUAUAUAUCCAUCUUUAAAAAUU